CGGAAAGUCAUUCUUCUUGUCCAUGAUACAAAGCCUCCUUUCCUUGAUGGAAGAGUUGUUUUCACUAAACAAGCAGAACCAAUAAUGCCAAUAAAAGACCCUACAUCAGAUAUGGCUAUUAUAUCACGCAAAGGAUCUACAUUGGUGAGGGAAAUUCAUGAGAAGCAAAAUAUGAACAAGUCACGACAACGCUUUUGGGAGCUUGCAGGCUCUAAACUUGGUGAUAUCCUUGGUGUUGAAAAAACAGCCGAGCAGAUCGAUGCAGAUACUGCAGCAGUUGGUGAUGAAGG
This 290-nucleotide unclassified non-coding RNA is filed under the name Hevea brasiliensis (rubber tree). The record is from RNAcentral. Lineage: Eukaryota; Viridiplantae; Streptophyta; Magnoliopsida; Malpighiales; Euphorbiaceae.